UUUGUCAUCGACUACAUGACAUUUAAACCUAACAUUUUAUAAUACGCAUUUUCCACAAUUAUUAAAAAAACUUUCAAUAUAACUUUUUAAAGCCUCCAUCGUAUUCUGUUUCACUCUUUGAUGGUUAGACACUUAAGCUUUUCCCUACACCUCAUUUUCAUAAACAGUGCUGGAUUCACCGGCUCAUUCAUUCCUCCAAUCAAGAAAUAAAACUAUACCAGCUACACUGCCAGGGAUUUCGUGAUAAACCGAGCUUGGCCUGGGCCUCUUGGGGCCUAAAGCCAGCGAGAGGCCGGCAGGAAAGCAAUCGGGUGCCUGGGGCCAGGCUUGGGGAACUGACCUGCUGGAGGGGCUGAUGGCCCCAUGAGGGUGGCCUGCUGGUGGCAGUCACGGGGAGAGGGUGGUGGGGCAGGUGGGCCAUGACAGAAGCUGAUGAGGGCUUGAGGACCGUGAACCCAGCAGCCUGGAGGGCGGGGGUCAGGGUCAGCAUUAGGGCCCAGGCGGGGUCAUGAAGGGGGCCGGGAUGGCACCACUACCGUGAGCCCUGCAGCCCUCUCCCUGUGACUGCCUCCUGGAGGUCAGGGUCAAGGUCAAGGCCCAGGAGGGGUCAGCAGGGGGAUGCAAUGACACCAUGGCCACGUGCCCACCUGGCAGCCUAGGGGCAGGAAGGGUGGGGACACAGGGCAGCAGACAGUGCGCUGGGCACAGGGAGGAUGGCAGGGUCAGCAACCCUCUGGGCUACAGACCUCAGCUCAGGCGGACACAGCCAGCGGCCCGCACCGGCUGGAACAGCACGCCCCGGCGUCUGACGCCCUGAGUGAACGUCCCGGCGCGAGCAGAAAGGAUGACGGGAAGGGGGCGGGGCUAGAGUCACGUGCACCCGCGAUGGACGACGGGAAGGAGAAGGCGCCCGGGAGCCGCUUCUCCUCGCGGGGCAGCCAGGCCUCGGCAUGGUGGCCUUAGGGGCUGGGCCGGGAGCCCGCGUAGAGGAGGAGGAGGAAGCGGCGGUGAUCGUCCCGAGGGCUCCGCGGAGUGCGCACUCACCGCCCGGGCCCUCGGGAGGCAGCCCCCGCUCUCCACUCCCGGCCCCUGGGAGGCAGCCGCCGCUCUCCACUCCGCACCCGCAGGACCGCCAUGGACCCGGUUGCUCUGCGCGGGAGCUGCAGGAAGUGCUUCCUGUUUUGAAACUUUUCCUAUGAGAUGUUCCAUAGCCCUGGGAUGGAAGUGGUUUACUCCAGAGAGAAUUUGUGUUUGUCUCUGUAAGAAAAUAAAAUUUCAUCGUGCCAAGGGGAAACGUUAAGCUCUAGAAGUGGAAUCAUAUAACUUGGCUGUUUUUCUUCUCUGAGGUAUGAUCGUUGCUUCCUGACCUGUGUGUUGAGAUGUUGUAUGUGACCCCAACUACCUGUUCCUCAUUCAAACUAGAG
Molecule: long non-coding RNA, 1424 nt
Filed under: Macaca mulatta (Rhesus monkey)
Lineage: Eukaryota; Metazoa; Chordata; Mammalia; Primates; Cercopithecidae
Description: lncRNA (ENSMMUG00000055848.1)
Source: RNAcentral